CUAAGUACGAAGCCUUCCUCAAGAUGAGAUAUCCAUUAAAGGGUCGUCGAAGACUACGACGUAGAUAGGCUGCAGGUGUAAAGUCAGUAAUGGCAAAGCUGAGCAGUACUAAUUGCCCGAAACUUUUUAUCG
This 132-nucleotide ribosomal RNA is filed under the name Tannerella sp. oral taxon BU063 isolate Cell 2. RNAcentral's name for it is "partial 23S ribosomal RNA". It matches the Rfam family "Bacterial large subunit ribosomal RNA", at positions 2781 to 2925 of the family's 2925-position model. Lineage: Bacteria; Pseudomonadati; Bacteroidota; Bacteroidia; Bacteroidales; Tannerellaceae. The record is from RNAcentral.